CCAAAUCAAGUUGAGAAGUGAGAGUGCAAGGGAUUCAUCGUACCUGCUCCGAGUAGGUCGAGACGCAAUAGUAAAUCCCACCGGCUGCCUUCAUGUCCGUUCAUGAUUGGAACAGGCAUGUUUCAGCCAGCUCGAGGUGCACUUACCAAGGUUGCAAAUUACAUGAUUUACGUAUAUAUAUUGUGAGAAGAAAACCCAAAAAAACGAUUGCAUGUAUUUUUAGCGAAGUGUGCUUCUGAACCACAGCUUGGAAUUGUGUAAUCACGACAUGACAUCAUGAUUCCCCAAAACAAUUCAGACCAUAGUUAGCACAGUAUGGACACCUAAAUCUUGAACAUUCUAAAAUAAUUACAAUAUCCUCAUUUUUCUCUAUUUAUACCAGAAAUUAAGAAGAACCGCAAGCAAUCAUCAGGAAAUACCAAAUCUAGGGGUUACAGAAAGUCAAAGUGUUCCCAUCAAACUGUGGAGAACACUAAUGUUCUAUCUUGUUUUUAAUCAAAACUAAUGUUCUACCCGGGAAGAAAAAUGACAGAUGCAACUCACGCAGAUGACCAGGCCUAGGUAAUUUAUAGCAGAUGUCCACCCGUGAGUCCUUUUUCUGCGGAUUAAAAGAAACACUUGCAAGUUGUUAAACCAAAAACAGUGAAUAUAGCAUGCAAGUAAUAAUCAGAAUAUUAUUCAGCUUCCAUUUCCAUGAAUCAAUCAGAGAUAAAGUUGAUCUUUAUUUGACAUUCAAUCAAACAGUCCCAAUCAAAUUUAAUUUGGGGCAGGGUAGAAAGAUGCAAGUCAUAAUAGGGAGAAAAGCUAUCAAGAAUGCCAUGCUGCUUGUUGCGACAAAUUUACCAUGUUACACCUUUUCGUGGAAGGGUCAAAAGAUCUGGAUGCGCUUAUCUGAAAUUCUUAAAUGAUCAGUUCAAACAAAUUAUAGAGCCAAAGCAAUUCAAAAUUUAGCAUUAUGAAGGAAAGGCUCGUGAUUAGUAUGCAAAUACGAAAGGCACAAGAUUACUACGAAGUAGGAUGACUGUCUGCCAAAGGCAAAAAUAACUCAGUUUUAUGCUUUUCUAAACUAAAGCAGAAACGACCGUACAAUUGCAGGAGAAAAAUUGAUGUAUGCUUUUUCUAACCUCAGCAGUAACGAACAGACAAUUGCGGCAAACAGGCUUGGGCAUCACAAUCGAGAACAUCUAUCACCAGCAUACCGCACCGAUUGCGACACCUCAUGUUGUCAAUCUACACUCUGAAAUAUGUCUACAUACAUCCGUAUGUCAUAGUUCAUUUGAAAUGUCAAGAAAGACAAAUAUUUGGAAACGGAUGGAGUAAUAGAUAACUUAUGUGCCCCAUAAAAGGAUACCAAACGCCGUGUGAGAGAUAAGAAUUCAGGGUGACAUCUGUCUAUACAAUUAGUUUUCAAGGCAAACUUUUGCACCAAGAUUGUGACAUAGUCACAUUCCAUCGAAUGAACAUGUGAUGCUGACCGAAGACUUGAUCAACUGUUUAAAUAUGCCUAUGAUAAAAAAUAGUUUAUUCAAAGCACAUUUAUCUAAGAAUGUAGUACGAUUUGUUUAAAGUCAAAAAUGAGAGAUUUGGUUACAUCCUAAAUUAUCAUAUAUAUUGAGGAAUAAAUUUCAUCAACUCAUGAUCUAAAAUGAAAGGACUUCUUAUUAGUGGCAUAAAGUCGUGAGAAAGCCAUGUUAUAUGCACUCUAUUAUGUGUUGGAGCACAUGUGUGCUCGUUAUCCCUCCCAUCAAGUUGCCCCGGGAUUUACAGCCCAACACGCAUAGGCCACUAAUAAUCUAUGUAUGCUUCUUUUGAACAGUGAAUAUGGCCCACAUCUGAAGUCCAUGAAACAUGACUAUGUGAGGCACUUUCACACCGGAUCGAAUGUCAGACCACCAUAUGGGUCGUCCAAGACGAGAUUCUGGACUAACAGAGUCAUUUUCGAGUCGAUUUAUUAUGUCUGACUCAUGCAUGUGGCUUCCCUUCCCCUACACAACUAAAGCUCGUCCCUCACUGGCUAAAGCGAACUCCACCUAGAUCCACCAUUCCCCCGCAGUCAAUUCUUCCUCAUCAGCCAUUCCCGAAGACAUCUUGCCGCUCAUUCCUGGCUUCGAUUGCGGAGAGCAGAUCAUAACAUAGAUUGCCCAUAGUGUGGCAAAUGUCGGCAAUCUGCCCCCGGUCACCUGCAACCACAAGAGUCCCUUUAGUAUGAAUCAGAUUCACACCAUAACCAUUUGCAACAAUCUAGUCCUCUAAUACAAGCCCAUCAUAAUUCUCAAUAGUCAUUAAAAUAUGGAAUCAAAACAGCUAACAAUCUAUCAUGUAUCCAAAAUUGACACCUAUGCUUAUCAUACAUGCCGGAGAAAAAUAGCUACAAUGUUGCUGUCAAGAUAACAUUUUGGAAGCAUUUUCUCUCAAAUAAGUAUUAAUAGAUCAGACACUGACAAAAUGAUUAUGGUAGUGUAAACCAAACGAAAUGACAUGGCCCACACACCAAUCUAUUCAGGAGUGUUACAUUAAUCCAACAAUUUGUUCAGCGCAUGGUAGCUAUAUAAAUAAUCCAGAUAUCAUUCGUGUUGACAGAAAUUAGCAAUGCUCCCAAGUACAUACAAAAUUGUCGAGAGAGAAUUUCCUAGCAUGCUGAGUUUCCAAAGACUGGACUUCUUAAUAAUGACACACCUUCGUGUCCAUGCAGGAGCUUUAGGGUCGAUCAGGCCAUAGAUUUCUUCGAUGUUGGCGACGAAUCUUCCGUUCAAGCUUCCGUUGCCCCUCCACCACACAUAUUUGCGCGUCUCCACUCACUCCCCUCAUAGGCGGCCGCUGCUCGACAUGUUGAGCCACUCAUGGCUGUCUCCACUCACUCCCCUCAUAGGAAUAGUGAACCGUAAAAAUAUUUUCAGAGUAUUAGGCUUGUAUCAUGAAUUAUGUUCGCUUCUAUCAAUGCUUCAAGACGCAAAGCUUUUUGUGUUUGCUAAGAAAACUAAGCAAAUAUGAAGGUAAAAGGAAAUCAUCAAUAUAAUUCCGCAAAAACUACUACAUGGAACGGACAUGAAAUGUUGCGGAAAUUGCUGAAUCUUGCUUUUCUGGAACAACGAUAUAGAGUGUUCACUACUGACUUGCACAUACUUUGCAAUCAGAAAAAAGCUUCAUCAAUUAUGUAGACGCGGUGAAAGGGAAUACAACAUACAAAAUCUAGAUACAGAAUUCAAGAUAAUAAAGCUAGAUGGAGCUAACACGACACAAUAUGCUUCAUCGUUUAGCGGGUACUCCCAUGCAUAUACUAAAUCAUAUAGACAUACACUUCAACCAUCAGAACUAUGCCAGAACUGGAACUGGUUUGUUCUUACAUGUCAUUUCCAGUGAGAAAAGGGGGAUGCUAUACAUUCCAAGUCGCAAAAAUUGUCUUAAAAUUAUAAGAAGCAAACUAAAAAUUAUAAAUAAUCAGAAGAAGUGCUCCCGCUGAGCGAAAACACAUUGCAUCUGAACAAUGCAAAGCAACUGCAGCACAUAAGCUAGCACCUUAUUCAUGCUUUAAAGGUGUACAGUUUGACCACCUACUUGUAGCUACUAUACACAUUCACAAGACAUUAGGCCUUUCAUGUAAUAUUUUUCUAGGCAAGAAAACAUUGCUAUAUGACGUAACUCGUAGUAGUAGGUAAAUUCACAAACUGUGUAUGUUGUAUCAAUGACUCUGCUGUAAUCAAACUUUGAAGCUACAAUCAGAUAAAGGAAUAAUAUGAACUUCAGUUAACUGAUGUAAAAUAACAAAAAGAGGCAUGUCUAAAGAACACAAUGGAAGAAUAGAAAAAUGCAUGUAGAAGAUUACACAUGAUCUAAUCAUAUACCUUGCCACCCAAAAUUUUGCCUUUGUCGUAUCAAUGAGUUUGCUGUAAAUGAGGAAGUAGUAAUUUUUGCACGUACUCUAGGUGUUUUGUCAUCGGUUGAACGACAAGCUUCUUCAUUUUUGGAAACUACACGAACAAGACAAAACAUUUGUUCACAGUAAGUUAGUAACCCUAAAGGAUCUACUUACUCGGAGAAAUUCAUAAGAACAAACUGCAUAUACAGUAAAACACAACGAGCUCUGAAUCAAAGUAUAACUAUUUGAAAAUCUUUGGAGAAGAUCAAACAAUACAUCAUUGCAUCACUACUCGGGGUCACUAACGGAGGCGCCAAUUCCUUCGAGCUGGGGAAAGGGGAAUUGAAGGUGCUCGGCAGAACUGGAAGGGGGAGAAAUGAAAACCUCAAACACUACCAUUUGAAGAGCAGAGGAUAUAUAUUUAGGCACUCACAGAAAUAAUCAUCGGAGGUCCUGUACAGAUACAAGUAGGUGGUGGCAUCGCCGUCUUAGCUCGGUUGUCCAAGCAACACAGAAUGUCCUGAUCACCACACAGUUGAAAUUGAAAGUGUUUGCAACUCUGCAAAUUAUAUACAUAUCCAACGAUUUAGUUGGGAGUUUAUUCUGCACCAUUUGUGAAAACACACACUCACAAGCAAUUCGUUGAGUAGACACCAUGAAAUAAAAUUAUAUUGUGAAAAAUACUAUUUAUCAAACAGGUGAAACAAACUAAUCAGGUGCAUCUCCGUAAGCAAAGAAAAAGGCAGACCAAAAUCUAUAGGAUAUGAGACAUAUAUAUCUCUUUGUUUAUAUAUAGACACACACACACACGUCAUAAUACCUUGACUUUCUUCCAGAGACUAAACAUUGGUUUGUGGACUAAAAACUCAGAGAAAAAAUUACCAGAAUGGGUAAAUGAGUAAUGGAGCAAACAUGCACAUUACUGAGAGAGAACACAUGUCCAGUGCAUACAGUUAUAAACAACCAUACUUAUAUAAUUUCCAUGUGGGAGAAGUAUAUUAGGUUAUGAAAGCAAGCGCCGUCGUUCGUGAUUUUAACGCACACGACUGAUGUCAUGUCACAAUGGUGCCAACCGGCUUGCCCAUGACACAGCUAGAUUCUGUCACCUCAAUCUUUGUAAUCUCAUCAUCUUAGGACAUGCCACAUCUUGCAAUGUUGUGAGUAGAUGACAGAUAAGAUGUAGCAGUGUAUAAUGGAAUUAGGGGUGGAUCAGCAACCUGACAUGCGCGGGGGAGGUACUCUGCCCGCCACUUCCCAUCCCUAGAGGGGGCGUGGAGGGUCGGCUACCAUCACCUUGACGCUCGGCCCACGAGACUACCAUAGAUGUAUUCUCACCUGCGUCGAUGCCACGUGCAUGACGCCACGACCGCGGCUGCCACAGCCUGGCCUCUCCUACAAGUAAAAAAGUAAAUCACACCAAAAUCAACACAAAAGGCACACCAAAUCAAGUUGAGAAGUGAGAGUGCAAGGGAUUCAUCGUACCUGCUCCGAGUAGGUCGAGACGCAAUAGUAAAUCCCACCGGUGCCUUCAUGUCCGUUCAUGACUGGAACAGGCAUGUUUCAGCCAGCUCGAGGUGCACUUACCAAGGUUGCAAAUUACAUGAUUUACGUAUAUAUAUUGUGAGAAGAAAACCCAAAAAAAACGAUUGCAUGUAUUUUUAGCGAAGUGUGCUUCUGAACCACAGCUUGGAAUUGUGUAAUCACGACAUGACAUCAUGAUUCCCCAAAACAAUUCAGACCAUAGUUAGCACAGUAUGGACACCUAAAUCUUGAACAUUCUAAAAUAAUUACAAUAUCCUCAUUUUUCUCUAUUUAUACCAGAAAGUAAGAAGAACCGCAAGCAAUCAUCAGGAAAUACCAAAUCUAGGGGUUACAGAAAGUCAAAGUGUUCCCAUCAAACUGUGGAGAACACUAAUGUUCUAUCUUGUUUUUAAUCAAAACUAAUGUUCUACCUGGGAAGAAAAAUGACAGAUGCAACUCACGCAGAUGACCAGGCCUAGGUAAUUUAUAGCAGAUGUCCACCCGUGAGUCCUUUUUCUGCGGAUUAAAAGAAACACUUGCAAGUUGUUAAACCAAAAACAGUGAAUAUAGCAUGCAAGUAAUAAUCAGAAUAUUAU
Molecule: long non-coding RNA, 5973 nt
Filed under: Triticum aestivum (bread wheat)
Lineage: Eukaryota; Viridiplantae; Streptophyta; Magnoliopsida; Poales; Poaceae
Description: long non-coding RNA (TAES_LNC023324)
Source: RNAcentral